RNAcentral lists this ribosomal RNA (498 nucleotides) under uncultured bacterium. RNAcentral describes it as "partial 16S ribosomal RNA". It matches the Rfam family "Bacterial small subunit ribosomal RNA", at positions 28 to 507 of the family's 1533-position model. The record is from RNAcentral.
GACGAACGCUGGCGGCGUGCCUAAUACAUGCAAGUCGAACGAGAGCAACCGGUGCUUGCACUGGUCAAUCUAGUGGCGAACGGGUGAGUAACACGUGGGUAACCUGCCCAUCAGAGGGGGAUAACAUCCGGAAACGGAUGCUAAAACCGCAUAGGUCUUCGAACCGCAUGGUUUGAAGAGGAAAAGAGGCGCAAGCUUCUGCUGAUGGAUGGACCCGCGGUGCAUUAGCUAGUUGGUGAGGUAACGGCUCACCAAGGCCGUGAUGCAUAGCCGACCUGAGAGGGUGAUUGGCCACAUUUGGACUUAGACACGGCCCAAACUCCUAAGGGAGGCAGCAGUAGGGAAUCUUCCGCAAUGGACGCAAGUCUGACGGAGCAACGCCGCGUGAGUGAAGAAGGUUUUCGGAUCGGAAAACUCUGGUGUUAGAGAAGAACAAGUGCUAGAGUAACUGGUAGCGCCUUGACGGUAUCUAACCAGAAAGCCACGGCUAACUACGUG